This 538-nucleotide small RNA is filed under the name Histoplasma ohiense. Its description in RNAcentral is "hypothetical lncRNA". Lineage: Eukaryota; Fungi; Ascomycota; Eurotiomycetes; Onygenales; Ajellomycetaceae. The record is from RNAcentral.
AACCCAAUCUUCAAGCAGCUGCUGUUGUUGGGAGUGUUCCACCCACAGCGGGUUGAGUUCUGAGACUUGCAUCGGGAGGUUCGUGCUUAAUGAUAAAUAUAGACUUGAAGGAACAUGGCGUGACCGGCACACGAAAUCGAUGCAUAGCUUACCCUGGUGCGUUGAGCUAAGGGUUUCAUUCAGGCCUCGUCCAGGGACCCCCUUGUUCCUUAUUCCUUGUUCCUGACGAACUUUUCCGUUACAGUCUUACAGAUCUGUGGAGUUGAGAUAACAAGCCAACUUUUCUGGUUUCCCUGCUUGUUGUUGUUGUUGUUAUCCCAUGGACGCCCUGUCCUUGAUAUGCAGCAUUGCUUUCCAGAUUUUAUUGGGGUGUCGGAUGUUUUCUUUUUUGGGGCUUUUUUUUUUGGUUUUGUUUUCUCCUGUCCUUUGUGUGCCCCUGCUUGGCCAAUCUUAAUAUGGGUCUGGUCCGAUUGAUCAUGGUAUGUUGAACCAUUGUUGAUCUUUCACUGGCUGGAGGAUCGCUGUUAUUGAGCAACCC